GACGAACGCUGGCGGCGUGCUUAACACAUGCAAGUCGAACGGAAAGGCCCCUGCUUGCAGGGGUGCUCGAGUGGCGAACGGGUGAGUAACACGUGGGUGAUCUGCCCUUCACUUCGGGAUAAGCCUGGGAAACUGGGUCUAAUACCGGAUAGGACCAAUCUUUAGUGUGGUUGGUGGAAAGUUUUUUCGGUGGAGGAUGAGCCCGCGGUCUAUCAGCUUGUUGGUGGGCAACGGCUUACCAAGUCGACGAUCAGUAGCCGGACUGAGAGGUUGAACGGCCACAUUGGGACUGAGAUACGGCCCAG
This 305-nucleotide ribosomal RNA is filed under the name uncultured bacterium. RNAcentral's name for it is "bacterial SSU rRNA". It matches the Rfam family "Bacterial small subunit ribosomal RNA", at positions 28 to 334 of the family's 1533-position model. The record is from RNAcentral.